CAAAGAGAAAUUUAGAACAAGGGACG
This 26-nucleotide non-coding RNA is filed under the name Cricetulus griseus (Chinese hamster). The record is from RNAcentral. Lineage: Eukaryota; Metazoa; Chordata; Mammalia; Rodentia; Cricetidae.